This 447-nucleotide ribosomal RNA is filed under the name uncultured bacterium. RNAcentral describes it as "bacterial SSU rRNA". It matches the Rfam family "Bacterial small subunit ribosomal RNA", at positions 330 to 794 of the family's 1533-position model. The record is from RNAcentral.
CCCAGACUCCUACGGGAGGCAGCAGUGGGGGAUAUUGCACAAUGGGGGAAACCCUGAUGCAGCGACGCCGCGUGAGCGAUGAAGUAUUUCGGUAUGUAAAGCUCUAUCAGCAGGGAAGAAAAUGACGGUACCUGACUAAGAAGCCCCGGCUAACUACGUGCCAGCAGCCGCGGUAAUACGUAGGGGGCGAGCGUUAUCCGGAUUCACUGGGUGUAAAGGGAGCGUAGACGGCCAAGCAAGCCAGGGGUGAAAGCCCGGGGCCCAACCCCGGGACUGCCCUUGGAACUGCAUGGCUGGAGUGCGGGAGGGGCAGGCGGAAUUCCUGGUGUAGCGGUGAAAUGCGUAGAUAUACGGAGGAACACCAGUGGCGAAGGCGGCCUGCUGGACAAUAACUGACGCUGAGGCGCGAAAGCGUGGGGAGCAAACAGGAUUAGAUACCCGGGUAAC